CUGUGAGAUGUAGAGACAGAAAGAGCAGCUGCCUGAUAACUAAUUCUUUUUUCACAUUUUGUCCUAGCUGUACUACUUCUUGGGUUCCAUGAAGUCUCCUGCAUCCUCAUAUAGAUCUUCCAUUUCCUUGAACUUCCUUCGUUUUUCAGGCCCGCAAAACAUUUCUUGUACCUUCUGCAAUAAUGCAGCCAUGGAUUUAAGUGUAAGCUUCAGAAUUUUUGAACAGAGCAAAUUCAUCAUUGCAUUCUUAAUGAGCCAACCCUUGAAAAUUGAAGACUCCAGUUUCUUUCUUCCAUAGCUUGCUUGAUCUGCUUCAAGGGGGAUUGCUCAAUGGUCACAAGACAAAUGAUGGAGAAACCACAGGAUUAGAUCAGAGGAGGAACAAUUGAGCCACCAGCAGCCUGUGAGAACAAUGUGAAGCAUACGUAAUGAAGACCCUGAGUUAACUCAAGGAGUGUGUAGUUAUAAAAGAGCUAAACUCUUCUCAACAGGAGGAAAAUGGUUCUUUAAGAUGAAAGACUGCUAUCCUCCUUAUUUGCUGGCAAAUUAAUAAAUCUACCUUUCCUUUUCCUCAUCCCACUUGUUUUUUUUUUGGGGGGGGGUGUUGUUGUUGUUGUUGCUUAACUUUGGCUUUGGGAACAGUUGUCGAGCUUUUGGUAACAAAUAUGAGCUGAAGAAGCCAAGAUGACUUCAUAAAAAGGUAAAAUUUGAACUGGCUUCUGAUAGAUGUAUAUGCCUUGAAUAGGGGCAAAAGGAAGAUUUUUUGUUUGUUUUUGGGGGGGUAGCAGGAAACAGGAAUAGGAUAGAGCAGGACACAAUCAUGUAAAUAGCCUUAAAAACAAAGGGAAGAAGGUAGUGGAAGAUGAGUGAACAGAUAACUCUGAUACUCUAAUUUGUGCAAUAAUAAUACAUGCUAUCAAUAAAUGCCAGGUGCUAAUAUGAUGGUCAUAUAUUUGUUAUCAUAUUUAAGCAUUUAGUAACUGUGAGUUAGGUAUUAAUUGCCCAUCUCUACUAAUGAGAAAAAUGGGAUAUAUAGAGAUAUAGAGGUAAAAUAACUUGUUCAAGGUACACAAUGGGUAAUGAAGCCAGAAUAAAUCUGAAGUCUUUUUGAUUUACAAACUUAUAUUCUUGAUAUUGUCUUUCAGGAUACGUGAACAGAAUAUUGUGAUAUUUUCUCAAAGGGAAA
RNAcentral lists this long non-coding RNA (1186 nucleotides) under Microcebus murinus (gray mouse lemur). RNAcentral describes it as "lncRNA (ENSMICG00000048793.1)". Lineage: Eukaryota; Metazoa; Chordata; Mammalia; Primates; Cheirogaleidae. The record is from RNAcentral.